CGCCAUGGUGUCCGACUGGCUUCGCAGAACGUUGCUGGCAGCCUCGGCGACGCGUCUCCACCCUCCGCUGGAAAGCCAGUCUACCGACGAGCGACUGAAUGUUGGUUUGGAUUCCUAACGAAUUUCCAGUGAAAGAGAAAUGGAGAGACAAGACACUUUCAGAUCAUGUCAAAUCUUGUACAUUAAAAUAAGGUAUGUGCUUACAAGUAA
Molecule: long non-coding RNA, 210 nt
Organism: Herpailurus yagouaroundi (jaguarundi)
Lineage: Eukaryota; Metazoa; Chordata; Mammalia; Carnivora; Felidae
Exons: 2
Source: RefSeq, a predicted model, not a curated record